RNAcentral lists this unclassified non-coding RNA (317 nucleotides) under Hevea brasiliensis (rubber tree). The record is from RNAcentral. Lineage: Eukaryota; Viridiplantae; Streptophyta; Magnoliopsida; Malpighiales; Euphorbiaceae.
UCACUGAUCUUCUCUACAGAAUUUCUUUCCAAAUCCUCUUGAAGUAGAAAUAUUUUCAUUUAUAUUUCAUUUUAUUUUUGGGGUGUCUGUCACAAAUAGAUGUAAUCUUCUACUGUGUUUAUUACUUCACAGCAUUGCUGAAUUUCACAUUCAAUUUCGUUUUUGGUUAACUUUCUUCUUAUUUUUAUAGAAACUGCAUGCAUUCACUAAUUUUCUGCAACAUAUCCAACUUAUCUUAGUUCAUUAACUCUGACUAUAGUCCAAGGUUAAUAAGGCAUUUCUAUCAAAAUAACAUAAUAUAUCUCCUUUAUGUUUUG